CAAGAUGGAGUAACUGUAGGGAAAGAAGAAGAAGAAGAAGAAGAAGAAGUGUCCAUGUGGACGCUUGGCAGUGCAAAUGAUAGACAAGGAAAAACGAAGUGACAGAGGAAAGAAAGAUAAGGAGAAAGAUAAAGACAAAGAGACACAACAUUGCAUUAGACACUAAGAGCCAUUCCUUGCUCGCUAAAGGCUAAUGCAAUUGCCACACAAUAAGAGCGUCUCAGCGGAGGCUGUAAAAAGAACUAGAGAGGGGAAUGUAAGAGGAGAGGCAGGGAAGGAGGGAGGAGGGCGCGUUAGGUUAGGGAGGAGGGUAAGGGAGGACCGGCAGCUCUGCCUUCAGACUCUCAUAUGAAUCUCCUGGGACAAUGGGUGAAAGUCUCUCUGAGUCUGUACUGUAACUCUGGGCUGAGUGGCUCACUUGCUGUGUCUUCAGGGUGAUUGAUCAGGCUUGCAGGGAGGAGAGACGGAGGGAAGAGAAGGAGAGACGAGUCCGGUAGCAGGCAGGCAGGCAGCUGGCUGGGUGUGUUAACUCCACAUCUGACCUCUAUGGGAGCAGAGUUGCCUCCUCUCCUCUCCAAGCAGACUGUGGGAACUGGGGGGACAGAGCUUUAUCCUCCCUCCCUCCACACCACCACCACCUCCCCACCUCUCUCCGCUUCUUGCUGGGCCAUAGAGCUCAGAGAACUGGCACUGGACAGACCGGGACAUGACAGGACAAGACAGCUCUGGCAGUCGAGCCUUCUGAGGAUUUCCACUGCAGAAGGAGUUCUGGAGCCGCCUCCGUCACUCAGACAGCCGGGCGGGUUUCUUGUCAGUUAUUAGCCAGAUUUUUAGUUUGUCAGCCAGUAAAUCAGUCACCGGGGUCUCUUCCACUCUGUGAAUAUCCUCAUCUGAACUCUGAUGUGACUCAGACGCCGUCCUGGACCACCAGAGGACCGCCAGAGGGUACGAUCACAGGUGUUCCACAGCUGCUGCGGAAAAGAAGCAUCUGGAGUCCAAAAACAAUGUAAUAUUGCGGAGGGCGGUAAAGGGCAGAGAGGUGGAGACCGGGCCGCUGGUCUCGCUGUUUAGGGGAGGGUUCCUGGCACCGUGAUUUGAUGCACAAAGAGAAACAAAAAUCACAUUGCCAGGGAUUUCCACUCCUUCACAGCUCAGCAGGACGUCUGUCCCGACCUCACAUUUCCACUCAGGGACUCAUUUUGAGGCCGGAUUCUGGAGCGCUGAAGGAAUUAAACCGAAAUGCUAUCAACCUAUCUCUGCAGACCUCUAAAAGGUUAAGUUGUGUCUGUGUGUAUUUAAGGUUGCAGCUGUUUGAAAUUUAAACUAUCCUCACCACUCGCUGCUCUAAUGUGCCAGGAAAUGGAUGUAAAUGCAAGCCAGAGCCACACAGGAGAAGGUUUAUAUUUCAGAUGUUGGAUUUUAGGGUUUAUAAACAAGGAAUUUAUUUGGAGAGCUAAGAUAAAAGUGGAGAUGCCUCCACUGCAGCCUCUGAACACUCCGCAGAAUCUGAAACCACUGACUUCACUGCCGACGUCUCACGUAAAGGUCUGCAUAAAUCUCAGCCAGCCACCCACUUGCUAAAGGCACAGAGCUUAGCUAAUUGGUGAGCAUUGAUCCCUGCAAUGUGUUGUUCACAGUGGCUAAGUUCAGUGCCCGAGGUGAAAUAGUUGAUUCAACGUGGAGGAUUUGUUCCGGUGGAUGGACUGAACUUGAUGAUCUCGGAUAAGCUGAAAGAAGGAGGGAUCAAGGGAAGGAAGGAAAAGUGAGAGGUCAGGAGGAGAUUAAAUGACGUGUACGGAGAAGAAGGUCACGAUUAUGGCCUGAAGUGUGAUUUCUGAACUCGUACUGCUCUCCUUGUGCAUGAAAGAAACUUUUGUCAUUUAGAUCAGUAUAUUCUCAUAAAUUGACCCAAAAAUCUGACCAUGUGACCCAUGUACAAUAAUUUAAAAUACUAUAUGAACUUUAUGCAAUUGGAAAAAAAAUUUAAGCUAGCUCAUGACGUCUCUAAUUUUAUCCCUGCAUUAACAGCAUUCAAGACUGUGCAAAAAAUUCAAAAAUCUUAAAUAUAUAUCAUCAUAAAGGGAAUAGAGUGUCAUUAUUGAUUGAAAGUUUAAACGUUUGUUGUGACUGGAUAAGUUUCUGCUUCUUCCUGCUCAUUUUCAGACAUAUUUUGUUUUUGAUUUUACAAAUUGUUCAUUUA
Gambusia affinis (western mosquitofish) is the source of this 2200-nucleotide long non-coding RNA. RefSeq lists it as uncharacterized. The transcript has 2 exons. NCBI's taxonomy places the organism in Eukaryota, Metazoa, Chordata, Actinopteri, Cyprinodontiformes, Poeciliidae. The record is from RefSeq and is a predicted model, not a curated record.